This 392-nucleotide long non-coding RNA is filed under the name Panax ginseng (ginseng). RNAcentral's name for it is "long non-coding RNA (PGIN_LNC013884)". Lineage: Eukaryota; Viridiplantae; Streptophyta; Magnoliopsida; Apiales; Araliaceae. The record is from RNAcentral.
CCACGUCCCAAUCACGAAAGACGUCCUGAUCCUGCACAGUAAACACGACAAACACCACAAGCUUGACGGCCGGACCGCCGGGGGAUAGCUCAGGCGUGAGAGUAAGUAUGUCUGUUCACAAGGUUAACUCAAGAGGAUGAUAAAAUCUAGUGUGAUGAGAGAGAUUAUUAUUAUCAGUUGUGUGAAUGUGAAUAUAUGAAAAACAUACCUUCCUCUAAAGACUUACUCGCCAGGAUAUAUAUCUUUACUUGGAUUACUGUGCUACCCAAUAUCAUCUGACAUAUCCCCCUGAUCUGAUGGGUUCUGCCGACUGCAUGGAACUUAUCCACUGCUUUUGGUCACUGUUUACACCGCCGGCCGGCUAUAAUCCCAUCCACAUUAAUGCAUAGCAG